Mobula hypostoma (lesser devil ray) is the source of this 3112-nucleotide long non-coding RNA. RefSeq lists it as uncharacterized. The transcript is spliced from 5 exons. The record is from RefSeq and is a predicted model, not a curated record. Lineage: Eukaryota; Metazoa; Chordata; Chondrichthyes; Myliobatiformes; Myliobatidae.
UUUUAAUUUAAUGUAAUUUAUUUUAUAGAAAUGUGAAUAAUUUUAGACAGGGAAGAAAAGGUGCUUCUAUGUCGGAUCAGCUCAACUUUGUGCUAAUAGCAGCUGUUGUAUCUUUUGCCUGUUGAGAGGGAGGAAAAAAGAGGACAUCUGGGCUGGGUGGAGUCCUUGAUUAUGCCAGCUGGAACUGGAACAAGUAGAUAAGUGGUCAUUAACUGAGGAUAAAGACAUACAGAACCUGACUUUUUCAAAGAUGUCGACCGAGCAAGCAUCGUACGCUGACACCUUCUUGACCGGAAGUACAAGAACGCGCCCAGCAUGUCCGGAGGGUUCUCAGAUUGCUCCUCGAAAAUAACCUGUAUGCCAAGCCCAAGAAAUGUGAGUUCCACGAAGACCAGGGGUCAUUUUUGGGCUAUAUACUUACCCCAUCCAGUGUGCAAAUGGACCCUAGUAAAGUUCAGGCCAUUAAAGAGUGGCCCAAACCAUCUACGGUCAAACAGGUACAGCACUUCAUGAGGUUUGCAAACUUUUAUCAUUACUUCAUCUGGAAUUUUGUUUUAUCACAGCUCCUAUAAAUGCACCCACUAGGAGAACUCCGUUGCAGAGACGAUGCCAAACAAGCAUUUUCAGAGUUAAAGUGAUGUUUCACCACUCUCCAGUGCUGCAACAUCCAAACCCAUCGCAACCAUUCAAUAGUUGAGGUGGAUGCAUCUGAUGUUGGCAUUGGAGCUGCCCUCUCUCAUUGCUUUACUGCAGUAGCCAUCCGCACCCCUGUGCCUUUCUUUCCCAUCACUUGACUCCAGCUGAGAGUAACUACAAUGUUGGGAACCAUUAACUUCUGGCUCUCAAGGAGGCCCUGGAGGAAUGGUGACACUGGCUGGAAGGGGCAGAGCAUCUUUUCUGGGUCUGGACAAAUCAUAAGAACCUCUCCUACAUUCAAGAUGCAAAGAGACUUAUCUCCCAUCAAGCCUGGUGAGCUCUCUUCUUCACUCAGUUUAAUUUCAUCCUUACCUAUCCUCCCGGCAGCAAGAAUACCAAGGACGACUCUCUCUCCCAGCAGCUCGGAUCUGAGGACAAUACCGAUCCGAUCCUUCCUCACUCAUGUAUUGUUGCUCCAGUGAUCUGGGGAAUAGAUGUGGAAGUGAGGACCGCCCAGCGGUCAGACUCAGACCCAGGUGGGGGAUCUGCCAACCAACUGCUUGUCCCUGCUGCAGUAUGCCAAAAAGUUGGAAUUGGAAUUGAGAUCACUCUUCCCGUCUGGCUGGACAUCCGGGAAUUCAAUGGACUCAGGAGUUUAUAAAGAGACAAUUUUGGUGACCAUUUAUGUCCCAGGAUAUCCACAACUUCGUAUCUGACUGACCCACCUGCACUCAGAACAAUAUGUCACAACAGCAUCCUGCAGGUCUACGAUGUCCGCUGCCUGUGCCACUGCCCCGGUCCCACUUCUCAGUGGAUUUCAUCACUGGGCUGCCCCUGUCUAAUGGAAACACCUCCAUUUUGAAUGUUGUGGGUUGAUUUUCCAAGACUGCCCACUUCAUUGCCCCCCACUAAGCUCCCGUCAGCUCGUGGGACUGCCACACUCAUGUUUCAGCAUGUGUUCAGGCUCCACAGUUUCCUUCAAGACAGUCUCUGAUCGUGGACCACAGUUCACUUCCUGCUUUUGGAAGGGUUUCUGCUCUCUUGUAGAAGGUCUGGUUUCCACCCCCAGUCCAAUGGCCAUACUGAGAGAGUGAACCAGGAGUUGGAGACAACCCUGAACUGUCUUGCAUCUUCCAACCCCACAUCCUGGACCUCCCAAUUGGUUUGGACAGAGAUUGCCCACAAUAUCCUCCAGUCAUCCUCCACGGGCAUGUUCCCUUUUGAAAGCCAGAAGGGAUUCCAACCCCAACUCUUCUCCGACCAGGAGAUUGAUGUAGGGGUUCCUGCUGCUGAACAGCUGAUCCAGCACUACAAGCUCACCUGGAGACGAGCCAAGGCUUCACUGCUGUGCACCCAGAAACAACGUGCCCACCAGUCUGAUUGGUACAGUGUCUCAGGCUUCUCGCUUAAGAGUCCAACAAUAAUUCGCCAGCAUUGAUGGAUUCCAGUUGCCCUGGUAUCUUUUCUCCAUGGCCGCAAUGUUUUGGUGAAACCUUUCACCAUGUUCGUCACUAACAACACCAAGAUUUGCAGGGAAGAAGUCUAAAUGGGAAUUCAGAAAAUGAGUCUUUAGUGACAUGUUGUAUUUCAUGGUUUUAUAUGCUUGAAGCAUGCGUUCAACCAGCUGCAUGUAGUUUGGUGCUCUGUAGAUGCCAAGAAAAAUUUCGACAACUUCCUUGAAUGCCUUCCAUGUGAUUUUCUCCAGUCUCACUAGAAAUUCUUCAAAUUGCCUGUUAUUGAUGACCUGUUUAAUUUGUGGACCAACAAAAAUGCUUUCCUUAAUCUUGGCAUCAGUUAUUCUGGGAAGCAUCUGUCUCAAAUAUCAAAAUCCUUCAUAGAAAUUUUUGUGCCUGGUGAUAGCAAAUUCCAUCCUGACAGACCUGAACCCAAUAAUUAUUAUUAAAACCUGUCCUGCCAUACAGCAGCCAUGCUGCCUAAGCAUGUCCAAGCAUGCCUGGACAAGAUAGGAAACUUUCCAGCUUACAUUGUAGGCAACAUUUUAAUUGACUUGAAUUAUGAAUUGAAAUUAAGCAUAAGUGAUUUCAAAAAAUGGUGCAUGAUAAGGAAAUUUCAUGGAGAUUUUCAUGAUCAGUAGCCCAAAAUUCAUAAGAUACACCUAAAGGUAUUCAGGAAGCAAAAUCUUUGUUGUCCAGUGUUAUUAUUCUUGUAGGUUAUAUUUCCUAUGCUUGCUUGUAUUUUCAUAUUAUUGCCCAUAUACAGUACAUGUAAAUGUUCAGUGAAUUUUCCAGCAGCUGCAGUACAGUUGCUUCUGUAUUUUUCUAGAAAUAAAGCUUUCAGAAGCUGAUGUCAUGCCACUGGAAUCUGGCUACUUUAUAGGUUAAUGUUCAUCAUUGGAACUUGCUGCUAUUUCUAGUCUGAUGUGAGAUAACCACGACUAUUUUGUCUCUAGACUUUUAUUUAUUUCCUCAAAACUUCUUGUUGUCUUCUUUGCUCUUGUAAUCUUAAAUAAAAGCAG